UACGGAGGGAGCAAGCGUUACUCGGAAUUAUUGGGCGUAAAGGGCGCGUAGGCGAUUUGGAAAGUCUUGUGUGAAAGCCCCGAGCUUAACUCGGGAAGUGCACAAGAAACUGUUGAAUUUGAGUUCCGGAGAGGAAGGCAGAAUUCCCGGUGUAGCGGUGAAAUGCGUAGAUAUCGGGAGGAAUACCAGUGGCGAAGGCGGCCUUCUGGACGGAUACUGACGCUGAGGCGCGAAAGCCAGGGGAGCAAACGGG
Molecule: ribosomal RNA, 253 nt
Filed under: uncultured bacterium
Lineage: Bacteria
Description: partial 16S ribosomal RNA
Rfam family: Bacterial small subunit ribosomal RNA
Source: RNAcentral